Molecule: non-coding RNA, 2091 nt
Organism: Camellia sinensis
Lineage: Eukaryota; Viridiplantae; Streptophyta; Magnoliopsida; Ericales; Theaceae
Source: RefSeq, a predicted model, not a curated record
UUUUUUUUUUUUUUUUUUUGGGGUUUUCUCCACAUAGUUUACUUUAGAUUCUUUGAGGGUUUUGCUUGAAUGAUUCAUACACUUAAUUUUCUCUCUUGAAUAAGCCAUUCUCGUUCUCCGUUUCCUCUGUGGUUUAGUCAAAAUGCCUUUUUGUUUGAUUCUUUCUCAGAUUGCUGAAUAUUUAGCGUUCACAACCUUAUGUUCUUGCUUUCUAGGGUUUUGGAUUUUUGGAACUCUCAUUUGAGUAUUUUGAUACUUAUUUGACAAAUAGUGAUAGAUUUGGGGCUCAGUAGAUCCUUAGAAUUUGAUAUUUGAUUCUCUUAUAGUUUGAUCGGGAAAAAAAAAAAGCCCCCCCCCUUUUUUUUUUCCCUUUUUUGUAGUUAUAGUUUGGUUGAUCUCUUAGGUUCUAGCUCUGUCUGUGUUGCUUGUUUGUAAUGGCGGUAUGUGAGACAUUGAUGUUACUUCCAACAUUUCAAUCACUCGUUGGAGACUUCAACCUGGUUCGGCGACGACAACAAUCCACGAUUGCUUGCUUAUUCCAUCCUAAGUACAAGCACUCCAAGUCCAAAUCAUAUCACAAAAUUGGAAAAUCUAUUGCAAUACAUGAUGGCCCUGUUUGAUUCACAACACUAAUAGUGAAGUAUUAAUAAUCCUAUCAAAUUAGUGUGGUAUUAACUAUCCCAUCUCUACCCCAUUACUAAUAAUCCUACAAAUUUGUUCGAUUAAUUAUCCAUUGGAUUAAUAAUCAAAAACCAAAAUGUCAAAACAAACAUAGGAUGAUUGGGCCCACGGAUUAAUAAUCCCAAUCCCAUGCUUUAAUCCUUCCAAUCAAACAUGCCAUAUGGAUCUUGAUCAGUUUCUGGCUUCCUUAGUCAAGAUAAUGUGAAAGUCGGCAGUCUUGUGGUCAAAGAUCAAGUGUUCAUGGAGGCUACAAAAGAAGGAUCUCUUUUAUUUGUAGUGGCAAAGUUUGAUGGACUACUUGGGUUCGGCUUCCAGGGAAUUUCAGUUGGGGUUGUGGUGCCACUCUGUGAGAAGACAAGGAUGUUACUGACAAGUGCUGCAUUUGUCCAUUUGAAGAAAUCUGACUUUUCUAAGCACACAUGGAACCUUUCUCCUGCAAGUCCUUCUAUUUUGCUUUCAGGACUUGCUGUUUGAUGUCACUUUUCCAGCCCUUCCAUGUUCUAUACUCAGUCUUGAUGCCAUGGAUAUCAGCGGGGAGCAACAUCUAGACGUUAAACACGACAUUGUCAAGAAAAGACUUGAUAAACAUGGUAAUGUAAUAGAAGAAAGGCAGGAUGGUAUUGGUGCUCCCAAGAUUGAAAAGCCUUUACAAAGACAUGGUGGGAGGCUUGAACACAAUGAGACAUAUUGUGGUUCAUGCUAUGGUGCGGAAGUGGAACCAAUUCCUGUCACUCAACUUGUAACGAAAACUGCUUUUGUUAUGUAGGAGUUCACAUAGUCGGGGCCUUAAUGAUUCCUUGAUAGAGAUUGCUGAUACCAGCUCAUUUAAGCCUCGAUAGAGUGCCCCUACCCUUACCUAUGUUUUCAGUUUCCCUGCGAUGUCAGUCGAGCAAAUGAUGACAGUGCAGUUUGACAUCGAUACCAACUCUUACACAUUGAAAUCUUGUCGGGAGACCAUGACUGCGGUCUCUAAUUUGUCCCGCCAAUAUAAAGCAGGACAAGCGAGGUGCAUCGGUUAAAUGCACAAUUCUCCCUCUAUCAACUUAUGAACCAAGAUGCCCGAAAGGAGAUUAGCAAAUUGAAAAAACAAAAUAAAGAGAUGAAAUGAUAGACAACCUCUGUGCCCCGAUUAGGAACUUCUCGGUGCUCUUCAUCUGAUGGCCAGCGGGGAGUAAUAUCUUUCGGAAGCUCUACAAAUGCUGAGGUAGAGUUUUCAAGGGCUUCCCAUGAGUAACGAUGCAAUGAGGUGGUGAAACUAUCUGUAAAAGGACGUCUGCCUGCAGCCUUUGCUAUCGGAAACACAGGUCGCCAAAAAUUGAGAACAAUGCUUACUUUCUAUUUGUCUUCUUUCUUUUUUUUUUUUUUUUUUGGCCUUUUUUUUCUUCUUCUAAGAGUUGGGAACCUAUAGCU